GGCGCUAUAGUGUAGUGGUUAUCACUUGGGAUUCUGAAGAGGGUUCCCAAAACCCAGGUUCGAGCCCUGGUAGCGCCU
This 78-nucleotide transfer RNA is filed under the name Trametes cinnabarina. RNAcentral's name for it is "Pycnoporus cinnabarinus tRNA". It matches the Rfam family "tRNA". From Rfam's summary of the family: Transfer RNA (tRNA) molecules are approximately 80 nucleotides in length. Their secondary structure includes four short double-helical elements and three loops (D, anti-codon, and T loops). The record is from Rfam by way of RNAcentral. Lineage: Eukaryota; Fungi; Basidiomycota; Agaricomycetes; Polyporales; Polyporaceae.